AGGUUUGGGAAGGGGAAGCUGCGGCCCUCAGGAUGCGAAGGCCUCACGUCACCCCCACCCCACCCCCGGGGCCCCCAGUGACCAGCCCAGAGAGAGGGCUAGCUGGCCCUUCCCCGGCCAGCAGUGGACGCUGGGCUGAGGGGCUGAGAUGAGAGGCCGUGAGGUGGCUGCUGUGGAUGUGAAGCCCCCUGGACCAGAGCCCAUUCUGUGAAAUGCACGCUGACACCACGAUGCCCUCCUGUGCUCCCAUCCCCGCCUCCCCUGGGCUGAGCUGGAGCCCCGAGGGAGGAACCCAGACCAGCACCACCGCAGGAGCUGAGGAUGGCUCCGUCCAGCCUGCUUCUGAGCCCUGCCUGCAGCACCCUGCCUCCGACCGCUGACCUUGGGAUGAACAGGGUCCACCCACAGUGAGCUUAAAAUUAAGGGCAAAGUUGUACCUGCUUAUCUCAGCUCAUUUGUCAACAGUGCUGGAAUGCUUGGCCAAUCACUGGAGGGAGAAAGAGACCCUACUGCACGCCUUAUGCCAGCAUAAGUUUCAGUGAGACUACAGGCUUGAAAUGCAAAGAAAAAAAAAAACCCAAAACAUAUUAAAAUGAAAAUGUAGAUGGUUAUAUACUAUGGAGAUGGUCCAGGAUUUCUAGGUACAGUACCAAAGGUAAAAUAAUCAGCUUUUGAGUAUAUAAAGGCAAGAACCAGUCAAUAUGGUGACAUACCCCAGAAGGUGACCGUCAAAAACAUCAUAAUAGUGAAAGGAAAACUACAAACUGAGAAGAAAGAGGUGGAAAAUGCAUGCAUUAACAAGGGUUAUUUACAAGGUUCUACCAUUAGUUGAAAACGGGCACAAGUAGCAAUUCAUAAAAAAAGAACUAUAUGUGACCAAUAAGAACGUAUUUAAACAUGUUGUGCUUCACUAGAGGUGUUGGAGAAGGCUCUUGAGAGUCCCUUGGACUUCAAGGAGAUCCAGCCAGUCAAUCCUAAAGGAAAUCAAUCCUGAAUAUUCAUUGGAAGGAUUGAUGCU
Molecule: RNA transcript, 1018 nt
Organism: Bubalus bubalis (water buffalo)
Lineage: Eukaryota; Metazoa; Chordata; Mammalia; Artiodactyla; Bovidae
Exons: 3
Source: RefSeq, a predicted model, not a curated record